AGGUGCGAUCAAAGCAACACUAUGCACCAGAUCCCAUCAGAACUUCGCAAUUAAACAUGCUUGAGCAAGAGGAGUACUAGAUGGAUAACCUCGUGGGAAGUCCUCAUGUUACACGUC
Non-coding RNA from Lupinus angustifolius (narrow-leaved blue lupine), 117 nucleotides. The record is from Rfam. Lineage: Eukaryota; Viridiplantae; Streptophyta; Magnoliopsida; Fabales; Fabaceae.